CCUACGGGUGACAGCAGUAGGGAAUAUUGCGCAAUGGGGGAAAGCCUGAAGCAGCAACGCCGCGUGGGGGAUGAAGGUCUUCGGAUUGUAAACCCCUGUUGGUAGAGAAGAAAAGGAAGGGAGCUAACGAAUAAGGACAGGCUAACUCCGGGCCAGCAGCCGCGGUAAUACGCAGGGAGCAAGCGUGACGCGGAAUGACGGGGCGUAAAGAGAGCGUAGGCGGGAUAUCAAGUCCGAUGUGAAAUCCUCUGGCUUAACCAUAGAACUGCCUUUGAAACUGUUAUUCUAGAGUGUGUGAGAGGUUUGUGGAAUUCCUGGUGUAGGGGUCAAAUCCGUAGAUAUCACGCGGAACACUCAUUGCGACGGCGACCUUCUAGCCCAUAACUGACGCUGCUGCGCGAAAGCGUGGGUAGCAAACAGGAUUAGAUACCCCAGUAGUC
RNAcentral lists this ribosomal RNA (440 nucleotides) under uncultured bacterium. Its description in RNAcentral is "partial 16S ribosomal RNA". It matches the Rfam family "Bacterial small subunit ribosomal RNA", at positions 338 to 795 of the family's 1533-position model. The record is from RNAcentral.